RNAcentral lists this ribosomal RNA (228 nucleotides) under uncultured bacterium. RNAcentral's name for it is "partial 16S ribosomal RNA". It matches the Rfam family "Bacterial small subunit ribosomal RNA", at positions 524 to 752 of the family's 1533-position model. The record is from RNAcentral.
UACGAAGGGGGCUAGCGUUGCUCGGAAUCACUGGGCGUAAAGGGUGCGUAGGCGGGUCUUUAAGUCAGGGGUGAAAUCCUGGAGCUCAACUCCAGACUGCCUUUGAUACUGAAGAUCUUGAGUUCGGGAGAGGUGAGUGGAACUGCGAGUGUAGAGGUGAAAUUCGUAGAUAUUCGCAAGAACACCAGUGGCGAAGGCGGCUCACUGGCCCGAUACUGACGCUGAGGC